GGUAGUUUGUGAAGUGGUAGAGUGCAUGCUUAGCAUGCAUGAGGUCCUGGGUUCAAUGCCCAGUAUUACCA
Molecule: transfer RNA, 71 nt
Filed under: Camelus dromedarius (Arabian camel)
Lineage: Eukaryota; Metazoa; Chordata; Mammalia; Artiodactyla; Camelidae
Also listed under: 1 other name
Rfam family: tRNA
About the family: Transfer RNA (tRNA) molecules are approximately 80 nucleotides in length. Their secondary structure includes four short double-helical elements and three loops (D, anti-codon, and T loops).
Source: Rfam by way of RNAcentral